This 1633-nucleotide small RNA is filed under the name Rattus norvegicus (Norway rat). RNAcentral's name for it is "uncharacterized LOC108352468". The record is from RNAcentral. Lineage: Eukaryota; Metazoa; Chordata; Mammalia; Rodentia; Muridae.
CACACACACACACACACACACACACACACACACACACAAUCACCAACCGCAGACCACACUGAAUGCUUCAGACGCUAGCCUUUCUGCAUGGCUCGCAACCUGAAGGGCCUUUUAUCUUCCAGGGAGCAGAGAAAGCCCGCCAUCAGGGAGCAGCCAACAAAGGCCAGUCACUAGCUGCUGCCCUGCUUACUGAAGCAGCCGGGGGAGAGGGAUUGCUCUGGCCCCCUUGUUGCCAGACUGGGCUCAGGUUCUCAGUCCUCUGGGGUUGCUUUAAUCUACUUCCACACAGGCCAGCAGUUCCCAGCCACCGCGGAGUCACUUAAGGGUGGCCGCCGCUCGUCAGGAGUGUGAAGAAAUAGUGUCAGCCACGUACUCCCCCUUCAUCCAUGGGAGAUGAGUUCCAAGACCACCAGAGGAUGGCUGAUGGCGAGAUUGCCUGCUGUCUCUCUGUAAGCAUGGUGAAGCCCUGUUCACACUCUGGGAAGAGGUAAAAGCCAACACCACAGUGAUUACAAGACACCAGCUAACACGCUAUGCUGUGAGAAAGGGGGCGACUGUGGUCCCUCUGUGUCUCAGAGUAUCUGACUUCACUAUCGAGAGGGCUCUCCCUGUGUCUCCUGAGGCGACAUUGAGGCAUGAGUACCUCAUGGGACCAAAAGAGGGCGCUGCAUCCCUUGGAACCGGAGCUACAGAGAGCUGAGCGCCACCUUCCCUGUGCUGGAUUUUGAACCUGGGUCUUCUGGAAGAGCAGCCAGAGCUCUUAACCAGUCUUACCAGCCUCCAGAGGAAUGAUUCCAGCCGUAAGCUUUUACUCAUUCUACUAGAAUUGUGUACACUGUGUGUAAAUUAUUGUUGAAACUUCCCAUGUGAUAUCCUCAGCCCACUGUUGACCAAGGGCCAGUGAAACUAUAGUACAGAGAAGGUUCCGAGAGGGACGCAGCGCACCAGAUUCAGACGUCCCAGCAUGCAGGCCUGACUCGGUUCACGCAGUCAGAACCUCAGAACCGCAAGUGUCCAGAACACAGGCUUCCAGAACGGGGUGAGCUUCAGCUGAAGGCCAAGAUUCAUUUCCCCUGAGAAAAACAAUGUCUCAACCACUCCAGGGGAGGUUGGGGUGGUAGUGGGGAGCUUGAAUCAUGGCGGAAGCCUCCCUGUGCGGUUGGAGGCAAAGGGGAGCAAACCACCGUUUGGUUGGAGGCAAGGGGGAGCAAACCACAGUUUGGUUUCUCACUUCCAAAACAGGCCCACAAUUUUCAAUGAACACUUGAAGGAUUUUUUUUUUGCCUUAUAACUUCAUUUCUUCCUUCCUCUUUGUUUCUUUUUAAAAUGCAACAUGCCAGUCUGUGAUUGGCUUUACUGGGUAAAGGAGGGCAGACAGGAACGGAGAAGGAAAUAGAAAUUGUUCAAAUGAAGACUAAGAUCUAGAGAGGAAAGUCCCAUGUAGCGCCCGGGCAUUCCAAGGUCAUUUUCCACGAGAACGGACACCAUCUUGCCCCAGAACUGCUGCUGUCCUUCACAGAGCCAAGCUUGCCUUCUUGUGCCUCCUGAAACAUGACAGCUCUGAGGGGGCACCAAGGGUCCCCAUUUCUCAGAUGUGGAGAUAGAGCCCAACCCCAUUCCCUUUCCUUUCCCU